CGAGCGAACGGACGAGAAGCUUGCUUCUCUGAUGUUAGCGGCGGACGGGUGAGUAACACGUGGAUAACCUACCUAUAAGACUGGGAUAACUUCGGGAAACCGGAGCUAAUACCGGAUAAUAUUUUGAACCGCAUGGUUCAAAAGUGAAAGACGGUCUUGCUGUCACUUAUAGAUGGAUCCGCGCUGCAUUAGCUAGUUGGUAAGGUAACGGCUUACCAAGGCAACGAUGCAUAGCCGACCUGAGAGGGUGAUCGGCCACACUGGAACUGAGACACGGUCCAGACUCCUACGGGAGGCAGCAGUAGGGAAUCUUCCGCAAUGGGCGAAAGCCUGACGGAGCAACGCCGCGUGAGUGAUGAAGGUCUUCGGAUCGUAAAACUCUGUUAUUAGGGAAGAACAUAUGUGUAAGUAACUGUGCACAUCUUGACGGUACCUAAUCAGAAAGCCACGGCUAACUACGUGCCAGCAGCCGCGGUAAUACGUAGGUGGCAAGCGUUAUCCGGAAUUAUUGGGCGUAAAGCGCGCGUAGGCGGUUUUUUAAGUCUGAUGUGAAAGCCCACGGCUCAACCGUGGAGGGUCAUUGGAAACUGGAAAACUUGAGUGCAGAAGAGGAAAGUGGAAUUCCAUGUGUAGCGGUGAAAUGCGCAGAGAUAUGGAGGAACACCAGUGGCGAAGGCGACUUUCUGGUCUGUAACUGACGCUGAUGUGCGAAAGCGUGGGGAUCAAACAGGAUUAGAUACCCUGGUAGUCCACGCCGUAAACGAUGAGUGCUAAGUGUUAGGGGGUUUCCGCCCCUUAGUGCU
This 803-nucleotide ribosomal RNA is filed under the name uncultured Staphylococcus sp. RNAcentral describes it as "bacterial SSU rRNA". It matches the Rfam family "Bacterial small subunit ribosomal RNA", at positions 63 to 847 of the family's 1533-position model. The record is from RNAcentral. Lineage: Bacteria; Bacillati; Bacillota; Bacilli; Caryophanales; Staphylococcaceae.